Molecule: long non-coding RNA, 771 nt
Organism: Musa acuminata AAA Group (dessert banana)
Lineage: Eukaryota; Viridiplantae; Streptophyta; Magnoliopsida; Zingiberales; Musaceae
Exons: 2
Source: RefSeq, a predicted model, not a curated record
UUCGGAUCUAUGAUUAUAUCUAAUAUUUUAUGCUCUUCAGUGCCUUCUAAUUGCUGGACUAAUUGCAGUUCUGCAGACUCACUCAAUGAUGCUUUUCUAAAGACAGACAUCUAACACAGUGUGUUGCGCCAUAACUCAAUAAUGCACAGCAGUCAAAUCUCUGUUAUUGGGGGGCCAAAUUUUUUUGUUGCAGAGUGCUGGUGGUUGUAGGGCAAUUGUAAGCUGUGCAGGCUGCUCAUUUUCCAUGAGAAAGGUGAUGGCUAUUGAUGGGCUGUGGGUUGUGACAACCAAUGAGGAGGUGGUGGACACAGCAAAGGCAGUGUUAAAGAGCCCUUAAUGCUUCCGAAGAUGUUAGCCACCUAAGCUGCUGAACAUGGCAACAAAGACAACAUCAUAGCCAUUGUUGUAUUUCUUCCCCAAGUCUCAAUCAAUGAGAGAACUUAGGAGCUUUGGGAGGAGCUGAAUGCCGCACAUGUAUAAUUGCGUUUCGUCUUGGUGGCUGCUGGAUGUGGCAACAAAAGACAACAUCACAGUCCUUUUUCUUUGUCCGAUUGCAGCAAGACAAUUCAGCAGCAGUCAUAUCAAACAUGCAGUGGCACCUCAUCUUGUUAACCCCCUACAGUGUUUUUUAGUUAAGAUUCUUUGUUGUUGCCAAGUCUCUUCAAGCAGCUCAUGGAGAGUCAGAGUUGUAGACUAUAGCCAUUUUCAAAGCUAACAAAAGUCAGACAAAGGAGUGAAGAAAUCCUGGAGGAAAGUCCAGUUUUUUGUUUA